Molecule: ribosomal RNA, 481 nt
Filed under: uncultured bacterium
Lineage: Bacteria
Description: partial 16S ribosomal RNA
Rfam family: Bacterial small subunit ribosomal RNA
Source: RNAcentral
GAUGAACGCUGGCGGCGUGCCUAACACAUGCAAGUCGAACGGAGAUUACGGACGGAAGUUUUCGGAUGGAAGCCUGUACUUCUUAGUGGCGGACGGGUGAGUAACGCGUGGGCAACCUGCCCUAUACAGGGGGAUAGCAGCUGGCAACGGCUGGUAAGACCGCAUAAGUCGGUUAAAUCGCAUGAUUUGAUCGGGAAAUGAGCAAUCAGGUAUAGGAUGGGCCCGCGUCCGAUUAGCCAGUUGGCAGGGUAAAAGCCUACCAAAGCGACGAUCGGUAGCCGGACUGAGAGGUCGGACGGCCACAUUGGGACUGAGACACGGCCCAAACUCCUACGGGAGGCAGCAGUGGGGGAUAUUGCACAAUGGAGGAAACUCUGAUGCAGCGACGCCGCGUGAGUGAAGAAGUAUUUCGGUAUGUAAAGCUCUAUCAGCAGGGAAGAUGAUGACGGUACCUGACGAAGAAGCCCCGGCUAACUACGUG